RNAcentral lists this ribosomal RNA (585 nucleotides) under uncultured bacterium. Its description in RNAcentral is "partial 16S ribosomal RNA". It matches the Rfam family "Bacterial small subunit ribosomal RNA", at positions 355 to 1375 of the family's 1533-position model. The record is from RNAcentral.
UGGGGAAUUUUGGACAAUGGGCGAAAGCCUGAUCCAGCAAUGCCGCGUGUGUGAAGAAGGCCUUCGGGUUGUAAAGCACUUUUGUCCGGAAAGAAAUCCUUGGCUCUAAUACAGUCGGGGGAUGACGGUACCGGAAGAAUAAGCACCGGCUAACUACGUGCCAGCAGCCGCGGUAAUACGUAGGGUGCAAGCGUUAAUCGGAAUUACUGGGCGUAAAGCGUGCGCAGGCGGUUUGCUAAGACCGAUGUGAAAUCCCCGGGCUCAACCUGGGAACUGCAUUGGUGACUGGCAGGCUAGAGUAUGGCAGAGGGGGGUAGAAUUCCACGUGUAGCAGUGAAAUGCGUAGAGAUGUGGAGGAAUACCGAUGGCGAAGGCAGCCCCCUGGGCCAAUACUGACGCUCAUGCACGAAAGCGUGGGGAGCAAACAGGAUUAGAUACCCUGGUAGUCCACGCCCUAAACGAUGUCAACUAGUUGUUGGGGAUUCAUUUCCUUAGUAACGUAGCUAACGCGUGAAGUUGACCGCCUGGGGAGUGCGGUCGCAAGAUUAAAACUCAAAGGAAUUGACGGGGUCAUAGCUGUUUCCU